CCUACGGGAGGCAGCAGUGAGGAAUUUUCCGCAAUGGGCGAAAGCCUGACGGAGCAAUACCGCGUGAGGGAUGAAGGAUUUUGGUCUGUAAACCUCUUUUCUCAAGAAAGAAGUUCUGACGGUACUUGAGGAAUAAGCAUCGGCUAACUCCGUGCCAGCAGCCGCGGUAAUACGGGGGAUGCAAGCGUUAUCCGGAAUGAUUGGGCGUAAAGCGCCUGUAGGUUGUUUAUUAAGUCCGUUGUUAAAGCCUAGGGCUCAACCCUAGAAAAGCAAUGGAAACUAGUAGACUAGAGUAUGGCAGGGGUAGAGGGAAUUUCUAGUGUAGCGGUGAAAUGCGUAGAUAUUAGAAAGAACACCGGUGGCGAAAGCGCUCUACUGGACCAUUACUGACACUCAGAGGCGAAAGCUAGGGUAGCAAAAGGGAUUAGAUACCCCUGUAGUCCUAGCCGUAAACGAUGGAUACUAGAUGUUGUGCAUUAUGUACAGUAUCGUAGCUAACGCGUUAAGUAUCCCGCCUGGGGAGUACGCUCGCAAGGGUGAAACUCAAAUGAAUUAACGG
RNAcentral lists this ribosomal RNA (559 nucleotides) under uncultured bacterium. Its description in RNAcentral is "bacterial SSU rRNA". It matches the Rfam family "Bacterial small subunit ribosomal RNA", at positions 338 to 916 of the family's 1533-position model. The record is from RNAcentral.